RNAcentral lists this ribosomal RNA (301 nucleotides) under uncultured bacterium. Its description in RNAcentral is "partial 16S ribosomal RNA". It matches the Rfam family "Bacterial small subunit ribosomal RNA", at positions 509 to 807 of the family's 1533-position model. The record is from RNAcentral.
CAGCAGCCGCGGGAACACGGAGGAUCCAAGCGUUAUCCGGAAUCAUUGGGUUUAAAGGGUCCGUAGGCGGUUUAGUAAGUCAGUGGUGAAAGCCCAUCGCUCAACGGUGGAACGGCCAUUGAUACUGCUGAACUUGAAUUAUUAGGAAGUAACUAGAAUAUGUAGUGUAGCGGUGAAAUGCUUAGAGAUUACAUGGAAUACCAAUUGCGAAGGCAGGUUACUACUAAUUGAUUGACGCUGAUGGACGAAAGCGUGGGGAGCGAACAGGAUUAGAUACCCCAGUAGUCCCUGUCUCUUAUAC